RNAcentral lists this ribosomal RNA (232 nucleotides) under uncultured bacterium. RNAcentral's name for it is "partial 16S ribosomal RNA". It matches the Rfam family "Bacterial small subunit ribosomal RNA", at positions 99 to 334 of the family's 1533-position model. The record is from RNAcentral.
CGGACGGGUGAGUAAUGUCUGGGAAACUGCCUGAUGGAGGGGGAUAACUACUGGAAACGGUAGCUAAUACCGCAUAACGUCGCAGGACCAAAGAGGGGGACCUUCGGGCCUCUUGCCAUCGGAUGUGCCCAGAUGGGAUUAGCUAGUAGGUGGGGUAAAGGCUCACCUAGGCGACGAUCCCUAGCUGGUCUGAGAGGAUGACCAGCCACACUGGAACUGAGACACGGUCCAG